CUACGGAGGGUGCGAGCGUUAAUCGGAAUUACUGGGCGUAAAGCGCGCGUAGGCGGUUUGGUCAGUCAGAUGUGAAAGCCCUGGGCUCAACCUGGGAACUGCAUUUGAUACUGCCAGGCUAGAGUAUGGUAGAGGGAAGUGGAAUUCCGGGUGUAGCGGUGAAAUGCGUAGAUAUCCGGAGGAACACCAGUGGCGAAGGCGACUUCCUGGACCAAUACUGACGCUGAGGUGCGAAAGCGUGGGUAGCAAACAGGAUUAGAAACCCUAGUAGUCC
Molecule: ribosomal RNA, 274 nt
Filed under: uncultured bacterium
Lineage: Bacteria
Description: partial 16S ribosomal RNA
Rfam family: Bacterial small subunit ribosomal RNA
Source: RNAcentral